This 253-nucleotide ribosomal RNA is filed under the name uncultured bacterium. Its description in RNAcentral is "partial 16S ribosomal RNA". It matches the Rfam family "Bacterial small subunit ribosomal RNA", at positions 524 to 776 of the family's 1533-position model. The record is from RNAcentral.
UACGAAGGGAGCUAGCGUUAUUCGAAAUUACUGGGCGUAAAGAGCAUGUAGGCGGCUUAAUAAGUUGGAAGUGAAAGCCCAGGGCUUAACCCUGGAACUGCUUUCAAAACUGUUAGGCUAGAGAUCAAUAGGGGAUAGCGGAAUUCCUAGUGUAGAGGUGAAAUUCUUAGAUAUUAGGAGGAACACCGGUGGCGAAGGCGGCUAUCUGGGUUGAUUCUGACGCUGAGAUGCGAAAGUGUGGGUAGCAAACAGG